This 1724-nucleotide long non-coding RNA is filed under the name Chloebia gouldiae (Gouldian finch). RNAcentral describes it as "Erythrura gouldiae (Gouldian finch) lncRNA (ENSEGOG00005013285.1)". The record is from RNAcentral. Lineage: Eukaryota; Metazoa; Chordata; Aves; Passeriformes; Passeridae.
GACAAACUGCACCACUUCUCCUCGUGGGAAGCUCUUAAAACCUUUUCAUGCUGCUUUAAGGAGUGGGAUGGAAUUCCCAGAGUAGCUGUGGCUGCCCCUGGAUCCCUGGCAGUGCCCAAGGCCAGGCUGGACAGGGCUGGGAGCAGCCUGGGGCAGUGGGAGGGGUUCCUGCCAUGGCAGGGGUGGCACUGGAUAACCACCCCAUAAGGUCCCUCCCAACCCAAACCAUUCUGGGAUUCUGUGACUACCAGCAGAAAUUUCUCUUUCUGCAAUCUCAGUUCAGAACCCUGCAAAUGUCCUGGAAUUUCUGAAAAUCUAUUUCCAGAAUGCUGAAAGUAAACUGAAUUUUCAGAGCUAAGAACUCCAUCAAGACACCUCAGUGCUCUCACCCCACCCCUUUCCCAGGGUCACUUCUCUGACAGGACCCCCAGGGCUCCUCAAGGCUCUUCCCAAGGCCGAACUUGGACUUCAUCUGCAUUAAAAAGAGCUGGAAGGCUUUGGAACCCCCGCUGCUGCCUGAUCACCUCAUUCACAUGCAGAUCCACAUCCCCGGAAUUGCCAGGACAGCUUCCCCUGUUGGGCUCUGGACCAGCCUCACAUGGAACAAAUGAAGCAAAUACCUGAGAGGAGUGAGGGAUUCGUCUUUCCAAACCAGCUGUGGUGGAUAAAACCAGCACCGAGAGGCUGGCAUCUGCACCAUCCCAGCAAAGGAAGAAGCACUGCUGCUGCCUGGGGAAUUUCCUCUUGGAGCCUCUGCCUUGAACUCUCACUCCCUGUCCCUGUGGACACACAACAAAUUCGGGAGGGAAUGGCAAAGGGAGCAGCUCAGCUCCAGGGACAGCUUCGUGGAGACCAGAAACAGACAUUGUUUCAAAAAUAGGAUGAUCCAUUUUUGACAUGAAAAAGUCUCCCUGCUCCAUCUUGGCUUGUGCAUAAAAUUAUCUUGGGUGUUUUUUUUUUUUCACUCUGUCUCCUCCUCAUCAGAAAAAAAAAAAUCUCACCCCAGGCUAUUUUGAAGCUCCGGCAUGUUCCUUUUCAUUCAUAUUUUUCAGUGUACUACAGGAACAUUUGCACUUCUGAAACCUCCUCGCUGAAAUGUGUGAACUGCUCUCCACCGAAAGGGAAACCUGAAUUUCCCUGCAUCAUUUCCAUUUGUCCUGUUUUGAGGUGAAGUAGUAAAGGAGAACGCCCGAGGCACUGCCAGAACCGAGCAGUGGGUGUGGAAAUCACAGCAUCAUUCAGGCUGGAAAAAACCUCCAGAAACAUCAGGACUGCUUCAGUGGGGGUUUGCAGAGGAGCAGAAAUGUGGAGAUGCUCUGGAGCCACCACAAAGAGCAGCCUGGGGAGCACCCAGGCUUGAGGGGGGACAAAACUGAGGGAGGAGAUCUGGGGGAGCUUUGGUGAGGAGACAGAAAUGAGAGGGAGGAAGGAGCUGUGACAUGCCACGAGCAAAGACCCCAGUGACCAAAGUUUUGUGGAGGCUUGGUCAGCUCCCACCAGCUCUCUGUUUUCUCCACCUAGUGCAUUCAACCCCUUUUUUUUAGUGAUAUAAAAUACAGGACUAUUUCUGUCCCAGUAACCACAGCCUCGAACGAGUAGUGCUGCGAAGAGAUUGCACAGAUUUUAAUCCAUGUAAUCAUCCUUAACCUUUCCUGCCUGGUAAAUUGCUUCAUUUCCUUUCAUUCAUGUAUCUCAAUUGAUUUCAUGUAAAUAUAUACUUUUCU